Molecule: ribosomal RNA, 388 nt
Filed under: uncultured bacterium
Lineage: Bacteria
Description: bacterial SSU rRNA
Rfam family: Bacterial small subunit ribosomal RNA
Source: RNAcentral
AACGAACGCUGGCGGCGCGCUUAACACAUGCAAGUCGAACGAGAAGGCGUAGCAAUACGCUUGUACAGUGGCGAACGGGUGAAGAAUACAUGGGUGACCUACCCUCGAGUGGGGAAUAACCCGCCGAAAGGCGGGCUAAUGCCGCGUACGCUUCUAUGUUUACGAACGUGGAAGGAAAGCUGUACCGUGGGUACGGCGCUCAAGGAUGGGCUCAUGUCCUAUCAGCUUGUUGGUAGGGAACGGCCUACCAAGGCAACGACGGGUAGCUGGUCUGAGAGGACGAUCAGCCACACUGGCACUGCGACACGGGCCAGACUCCUACGGGAGGCAGCAGUGAGGAAUAUUGCGCAAUGGGCGAAAGCCUGACGCAGCGACGCCGCGUGGGGGA